AGAGAGAGAGCUCAUUCCCCUCUAUACCCCUCAACUCAUGUAACAAUUGCUAAUAAACCCCUCCACUUUGCUUCUCUUGGCCUGCCCAAACUGGGCAUUUUUCGUGCUCGGGGACCGGUCUGUCCCUAUAGGGACCGAUCCCCGAGAGCAGGGCUCUCAGGACUUAGCCAAUUUUUCCCUCUUUUCGCCUCUUCUGUGUACGAGGACCGGUCCUCGCCUGAGGGACCGGACCUUCAGGGACCGGUCCCCUCCCGAGGGACCGGACCCUGAGAGCAAUAUCGCGCGCAGAACUUU
This 294-nucleotide long non-coding RNA is filed under the name Ananas comosus (pineapple). RNAcentral's name for it is "long non-coding RNA (ACOM_LNC023310)". Lineage: Eukaryota; Viridiplantae; Streptophyta; Magnoliopsida; Poales; Bromeliaceae. The record is from RNAcentral.